This 253-nucleotide ribosomal RNA is filed under the name uncultured bacterium. RNAcentral describes it as "partial 16S ribosomal RNA". It matches the Rfam family "Bacterial small subunit ribosomal RNA", at positions 524 to 776 of the family's 1533-position model. The record is from RNAcentral.
UACGAAGGGGGCAAGCGUUGUUCGGAAUUACUGGGCGUAAAGGGCUCGUAGGCGGCCAACUAAGUCAGACGUGAAAUCCCUCAGCUUAACUGGGGAACUGCGUCUGAUACUGGAUGGCUUGGAUUCGGGAGAGGAAUGCGGAAUUCCAGGUGUAGCGGUGAAAUGCGUAGAUAUCUGGAGGAACACCGGUGGCGAAGGCGGCAUUCUGGACCGACAUUGACGCUGAGGAGCGAAAGCCAGGGGAGCAAACGGG